GGCUUCGUGGUCGAGUAGUAAGGACACUUGCCUUUUACCCUGGAGUUUCGGGUUCGAUCCCCGACCGAAGGGCUA
Non-coding RNA from Rhamnusium bicolor, 75 nucleotides. NCBI's taxonomy places the organism in Eukaryota, Metazoa, Arthropoda, Insecta, Coleoptera, Cerambycidae. The record is from the annotation of a GenBank genome assembly.